Lepisosteus oculatus (spotted gar) is the source of this 1177-nucleotide non-coding RNA. NCBI's taxonomy places the organism in Eukaryota, Metazoa, Chordata, Actinopteri, Semionotiformes, Lepisosteidae. The record is from RefSeq and is a predicted model, not a curated record.
AACAGCUCCUUGAAAGGGGAAAGUGUGAUCUUCAGAUGUCCUCUGGAUCAGUUACAGCCAAGCAGUUUCAAAGCAGUCACGCACUUAAACAUGUUUGGCAACUGGACAGAAAAUAGAAAAGGGGAAUUCCUGGCCUGGAGGACUGAAGUCAUUUUGUAGCCACGGCAUAAACUUCCCCAGUUCCCUUUAAUCCGCACAUGCAUGUAAUCAUCGUGUUUUCCUUUGCCAGUAGCUAACCUCCUCCUGCCCGUCACAAAUUCCAGAACGGACACGAAAUAUUUUAAACUUCCUUGACAAUAAUUAUUGGUUUUUAAGUUGAAGAAUAACAACAAUGUCGGAUCUUAAAUCGUAGCGGCACUGAGUCAGUUGCAAACACCUGGAAGAUUUAUCACGGAUUUUGGUGCUAACCACGGCGCUACCCCAGUUACAACUCGGGUCACAUGACGCUGCGCUGUACGUGAACUCAGGGGCACUGGUUCACACAGGUGUGCGCCAACAGGUGUGAGUCCGGCCCCUGCCGGUGAGUGCGAUUAGUUCCACGUGGGGGAUGACAGAACAAAACAGACAGAAAAUAGAUCUUUUAGAGCAGGAAAUUAAAACCCAUCUCAAGUGUCGCCGGCGAGGGUUCGCCGAUGGUUUUACUCCAGUGCGAUGGCAGCUAGUCCGCCCGCCUCCUGCUUGAAUAUCAUUUCCUCAUCAGUACAGAUCUGCUCGUUUCAAGACACAUCAUGGGAUGCUGUUGCUCACUGACUUCUUUGUUACUCACAUAGGUCUUUCUUAUCUUUGUAUUUUGAACUAUAUCAUUAUUGCUUAUAUUUAUACAUGAUUCAUUUUAUUAAAAAACAAAACAAAAAGGGGUACUAAUUGUUGUUAAAAAAUCCUUUGAUUUUUCCCUUGAUAACUUUUUGAAUUUCAACAUUUUUUACAUUUGUUUCUAACAUGUUUGAAAACUAUGGAUGCUGUUGAAUCAUUGCUGUAUCCACAUUUUCAACUCCAUUAGGGUGAAAUAGAGCAUUUUUGCAUUCAGAGGAAAUAUCUGAGGGUGGCAGACUGGCACAGAGGUUAGCAAUGCUGUCUUGCAUCAGCAGAGCCCCAUCUUGAGUCUCGGGGGUGCUCUCUGCGUGGGGUUUGUAUGUUCUCCCUGAGUUUCCUCCAGGUUUCCUCCCACAGUCCAAAG